UCCGUAGGUGAACCUUCGGAAGGAUCAUUAACGAGUUAGGGUCUUCCAAGGCCCGACCUCCCAACCCUAUGUUUAUUGUACCUUGUGUUGCUUCGGCGGGACCGUCUCACGCACCGCCGGAGGGCCGUAAAACGUCCUCUGGCCCGCGCCCGCCGAUGGCCCCCCACAAAAAACUCUGAAUAAAUCAUGCCUAAUUGUCUGAGUAUAAUACACAAAAAUUAAAAGCAAAACUUUCAACAACGGAUCUCUUGGUUCUGGCAUCGAUGAAGAACGCAGCGAAAUGCGAUAAGUAAUGCGAAUUGCAGAAUUCCAGUGAGUCAUCGAAUCUUUGAACGCACAUUGCGCCCUUUGGUAUUCCGAUCUGGUUUAGGCACCGCCUAGACCCCUCCUAAAGAUAAUGACGGCGGCCUCGUUGGACCCCCGGUACACUGAGCUUCUUAACUGAGCACGUAUCGGAUCAAGGGUGCGCGGGACACGGUCUUCACCCCCCUUUUUUUUUUUUAAGGUUGACCCCGGCUCAGGUAGGAACCCCCGCUGAACUUAAGCAUAUCAAUAAGCGGAGGAAAAGAAACCAACAGGGAUUGCCUCAGUAACGGCGAGUGAAGCGGCAACAGCUCAAAUUUGAAAUCUGGCCUCUUUGGGGUCCGAGUUGUAAUUUGUAGAGGAUGUUUCGGGUACCGCCUCGGUCUAAAUUUCUUGGAACAGAAUGUCAGAGAGGGUGAGAAUCCCGUCUUGGACCGGCGGUAGGGCCCAUGUGAAACUCCUUCGACGAGUCGAGUUGUUUGGGAAUGCAGCUCAAAAUGGGUGGUAUAUUUCAUCUAAAGCUAAAUAUUGGCCAGAGACCGAUAGCGCACAAGUAGAGUGAUCGAAAGAUGAAAAGAACUUUGAAAAGAGAGUUAAACAGUAUGUGAAAUUGUUGAAAGGGAAGCGCUUGCAACCAGACUUGAGCGCGGCGGUUCCCCCUUCCUUUUGGUUGGGUUACUCCGUCGUGUCCAGGCCAACAUCGGUUCUGGGGGUCGGUUAAAGGCCUGGGGAAUGUAUCUACGUCUUCGGGCGUAGACUUAUAGCCCCGGGUGUCAUGCGACCUCCCGGGACCGAGGAACGCGCUUCGGCUCGGAUGUUGGCGUAAUGGUUGUAAGCGACCCGUCUUGAAACACGGACC
Molecule: small RNA, 1162 nt
Filed under: Exophiala bergeri
Lineage: Eukaryota; Fungi; Ascomycota; Eurotiomycetes; Chaetothyriales; Herpotrichiellaceae
Description: eukaryotic LSU rRNA
Rfam family: Eukaryotic large subunit ribosomal RNA (bases 508-1162)
Source: RNAcentral